Molecule: ribosomal RNA, 497 nt
Filed under: uncultured bacterium
Lineage: Bacteria
Description: partial 16S ribosomal RNA
Rfam family: Bacterial small subunit ribosomal RNA
Source: RNAcentral
GAUGAACGCUGGCGGCGUGCCUAAUACAUGCAAGUCGAGCGAACGGACGAGAAGCUUGCUUCUCUGAUGUUAGCGGCGGACGGGUGAGUAACACGUGGAUAACCUCCCUAUAAGACUGGGAUAACUUCGGGAAACCGGAGCUAAUACCGGAUAAUAUUUUGAACCGCAUGGUUCAAAAGUGAAAGACGGUCUUGCUGUCACUUAUAGAUGGAUCCGCGCUGCAUUAGCUAGUUGGUAAGGUAACGGCUUACCAAGGCAACGAUGCAUAGCCGACCUGAGAGGGUGAUCGGCCACACUGGAACUGGGACACGGUCCAGACUCCUACGGGAGGCAGCAGUAGGGAAUCUUCCGCAAUGGGCGAAAGCCUGACGGAGCAACGCCGCGUGAGUGAUGAAGGUCUUCGGAUCGUAAAACUCUGUUAUUAGGGAAGAACAUAUGUGUAAGUAACUGUGCACAUCUUGACGGUACCUAAUCAGAAAGCCACGGCUAACUACGUG